RNAcentral lists this ribosomal RNA (491 nucleotides) under uncultured bacterium. Its description in RNAcentral is "partial 16S ribosomal RNA". It matches the Rfam family "Bacterial small subunit ribosomal RNA", at positions 29 to 506 of the family's 1533-position model. The record is from RNAcentral.
AGUGAACGCUGGCGGUAGGCCUAACACAUGCAAGUCGAACGGCAGCACAGUAAGAGCUUGCUCUUACGGGUGGCGAGUGGCGGACGGGUGAGGAAUACAUCGGAAUCUACUUUUUCGUGGGGGAUAACGUAGGGAAACUUACGCUAAUACCGCAUACGACCUACGGGUGAAAGCAGGGGAUCUUCGGACCUUGCGCGAUUGAAUGAGCCGAUGUCGGAUUAGCUAGUUGGCGGGGUAAAGGCCCACCAAGGCGACGAUCCGUAGCUGGUCUGAGAGGAUGAUCAGCCACACUGGAACUGAGACACGGUCCAGACGCCUACGGGAGGCAGCAGUGGGGAAUAUUGGACAAUGGGCGCAAGCCUGAUCCAGCCAUACCGCGUGGGUGAAGAAGGCCUUCGGGUUGUAAAGCCCUUUUGUUGGGAAAGAAAAGCGGCAGGUUAAUACCCCGCUGUUCUGACGGUACCCAAAGAAUAAGCACCGGCUAACUUCGU